CAGCAGCCGCGGUAAUACGUAGGUGGCAAGCGUUGUCCGGAUUUAUUGGGCGUAAAGCGAGCGCAGGCGGUUUCUUAAGUCUGAUGUGAAAGCCCCCGGCUCAACCGGGGAGGGUCAUUGGAAACUGGGAAACUUGAGUGCAGAAGAGGAGAGUGGAAUUCCAUGUGUAGCGGUGAAAUGCGUAGAUAUAUGGAGGAACACCAGUGGCGAAGGCGGCUCUCUGGUCUGUAACUGACGCUGAGGCUCGAAAGCGUGGGGAGCGAACAGGAUUAGAUACCCCAGUAGUCCCUGUCUCUUAUAA
Molecule: ribosomal RNA, 301 nt
Filed under: uncultured bacterium
Lineage: Bacteria
Description: partial 16S ribosomal RNA
Rfam family: Bacterial small subunit ribosomal RNA
Source: RNAcentral